AGAAGAAGAAGAAGAAGAAAAAGAGGUUUUCCCUAAUGAUUUGCUGAUGCAGGUUUAAUGGGGCACUAGGUAUUUUGUUCCUCUUUGUUUUCCCAAUUCGGUGGACUUUGAUGCAGGUCUUGAAGAAUAAUUUUUUAUGCACUACAGUUUUUCCUCUGUUUCAACCUGUGUUUAAUUGUAUUUAAAAACGAAUUAUUGACUUUGGGAUGGAUAAAUUGAAAAAUUUUCUUGUUUAUUUAAUGGUGGAUUUGGGUUGAUCUAGAAUCUUGAUAAACCAAAGUUAUGACGUUUGGCGAUAAAAAUUUCCAUGAAACGAAGACGGAGACUUUGAAUUUUUAUGUGUUCUAUGGACCGAAUUUUUAGUUUGUGCCAGGCAAAGCUAGUGGAGACUUAUAUUUUGUGUUUAUCAAUUAGUGGAAGCUGAGAAUUCAGAUUCUGAUUUCUUGAAAGUUCAUUUCUUUGUAGACCUUUUCUCCACAUCCAUAGAACUUUGCUUGUUGCCAAGUUUGGAUUUUUUGUUCCUUGUUCUGUUCAUAUCUAUUCAUUGAACAAAGCAAUUUUCUAAUUUAUGGGGUCAAAUCUCUACUAUUGUGGUACAUAAAGAAGUUGUAGUUCACUACUAAUUUUUGCUUUUACUCUUUGGUCUUUGAUCUAUUGGAAGAACCUAAAGAUUCUUUAGAUUUGGCUUCACUGAGUUUUUUUAUUUCAUCACUGUUUAUUCAUUCAGCUUCUCUUUGAUAUCAGGAACUGGGAGUGAGAGGCAAGUGGAAGAAUCGCUGGGAAGAUCAGCUAUCCGAAUUGAAGAGAAGAAGCAUGAACAAGGAUGCAGAAGGGAACAUGUCAUGGGCAGCUCGCAUGCGCAGGCAACGGGAACGAAUGUCACAGGAAGUUUAAAUGGGUUCUUGUUUUGUUCUGUAUAUACACGUCUUUCAAUUUUCUACGUGGUUGGUA
RNAcentral lists this unclassified non-coding RNA (951 nucleotides) under Hevea brasiliensis (rubber tree). The record is from RNAcentral. Lineage: Eukaryota; Viridiplantae; Streptophyta; Magnoliopsida; Malpighiales; Euphorbiaceae.